GUCGAACGGGGUAUUAGGGAGCUUGCUCCUUAAAUCUAGUGGCGGAUGGGUGAGUACGCGUGAGCAACCUGCCUUGAAGAAGUGGAAUAACUGCUGGAAAAUAGUAGCUAAUACCGCAGUAGUGUGGAGGAGGAACAUUUCUCUUUCACCAAAGAUUUACGCUUUGAGAUGGGCUAGUCGUCUGAUUAGCUAGUUGGUGGGGUAACGGCCCACCAAGGCGACGAUCAUUAGCCGGACUGAGAGGUUGAACGGCAACAUUGGGACUAGACACGGCCCAGACUCCUACGGGAGGCAGCAGUGAGGGAUAUCGCACGGUGGGCGCAAGCCCGAUGCAGCAACGCCGCGUGAGGGAAGACGGUUAUCGGAUUGAAAACCUCUGUCUUCGGUGACGAACGCAAUGACGGUAGCCGAGGAGGAAGCACCAGCAACCCGUGCGAGCAGCCGCGGUAAUACGUAGGUGGCGAGGGUUGUCCGGAAUUAGUGGGUGUAAAGGGAGCGCAGGCGGGAGAAUAAGUCAGCGGUCAAAUCUACGGGCUCACCCCGUAGCCUGCCGUUGAAACUAUUUUUCUUGAGUGGAGUAGAGGCAAGCGGAAUUCCGAGUGUAACGGUGAAAUCCGUAGAGAUUCGGGGAACACCAGUGGCGAAGGCGGCUUGCUGGGCUGCUUACAGACGCUGAGUGCUCGAAAGUGUGGGGAGCAAACAGGAUUAGAUACCCUGGUAGUACCACACCGUAAACGAUGAUUACUAGGUGUGGGGGGUCUGACCCCCUCCGUGCCGGAGCUAACGCAAUAAGUAAUCCACCUGGGGAGACGGCCGCAAGGUUGAAACUCAAAGGAAUUGACGGGGGCCCGCACAAGCAGUGGAUUAUAUAGGUUUAAUUCGAAGCAACGCGAAGAACCUUACCAGGUCUUGACACCUAAGAAGACACUAGAGAUAGAGUUGCGCCUUUCGGGGAACUUAGAGACAGCUGGUGCAUGUUUGUCGUCAGUUCCUGUCGUGAGAUGUUGGGUUAAGGCCGCAACCAGCGCAACCCCUGCCAUUAGUUGCUACGGAAAGAGCACUCUAAUGGGACCGCUAACGACAAGGUGGAGGAAGGUGGGGACGACGUCAAAUCACAUGCCCCUUACGACCUCGGCCACACCCGUAAUACAAUGGUCGUUUAACAGCGUGAGGCAAACCCGCGAGGGGGAGCAAAACAUCAAAAACGGUCUCAGUCGGAUCGCAGGCUGCAACCCGCCUGCGUGAAGUUGGGCCUUGCUAGUAAUUAGCGGAUCACCA
RNAcentral lists this ribosomal RNA (1278 nucleotides) under uncultured Clostridiaceae bacterium. RNAcentral's name for it is "bacterial SSU rRNA". It matches the Rfam family "Bacterial small subunit ribosomal RNA", at positions 61 to 1354 of the family's 1533-position model. The record is from RNAcentral. Lineage: Bacteria; Bacillati; Bacillota; Clostridia; Eubacteriales; Clostridiaceae.